Molecule: ribosomal RNA, 403 nt
Filed under: uncultured bacterium
Lineage: Bacteria
Also listed under: 1 other name
Description: partial 16S ribosomal RNA
Rfam family: Bacterial small subunit ribosomal RNA
Source: RNAcentral
UGAGGAAUAUUGGGCAAUGGGCGAGAGCCUGACCCAGCAACGCCGCGUGGAGGAAGACGGCCUUCGGGUUGUAAACUCCUUUUGACAGGGAAGAGAGAGGACGGUACCUGUCGAAUAAGUCACGGCUAACUACGUGCCAGCAGCCGCGGUAAUACGUAGGUGACAAGCGUUAUCCGGAAUUACUGGGCGUAAAGCGCACGCAGGCGGCUGCUUAAGUCUGACGUGAAAUCUCCUGGCUUAACUGGGAGGGGUCGUUGGAAACUGGGUGGCUUGAGGUGGUGAGAGGGGUGCAGAAUUCCCGGUGUAGUGGUGGAAUGCGUAGAUAUCGGGAGGAAUACCAGUGGCGAAAGCGGCACCCUGGCACUGACCUGACGCUCAUGUGCGAAAGCGUGGGGAGCAAACG